This 71-nucleotide transfer RNA is filed under the name Ictidomys tridecemlineatus (thirteen-lined ground squirrel). RNAcentral describes it as "Spermophilus tridecemlineatus (thirteen-lined ground squirrel) tRNA". It matches the Rfam family "tRNA". Rfam says of the family: Transfer RNA (tRNA) molecules are approximately 80 nucleotides in length. Their secondary structure includes four short double-helical elements and three loops (D, anti-codon, and T loops). Lineage: Eukaryota; Metazoa; Chordata; Mammalia; Rodentia; Sciuridae. The record is from Rfam by way of RNAcentral.
GGGGUUGUGGCUCAGCGGUAGGGCGCUCGCCUGGCACGUGCAAGACCCUGGGUUCGAUCCUCAGCUCCCCA